This is a long non-coding RNA of Eriocheir sinensis (Chinese mitten crab), 639 nucleotides long. RefSeq lists it as uncharacterized. The record is from RefSeq and is a predicted model, not a curated record. The transcript is spliced from 4 exons. Lineage: Eukaryota; Metazoa; Arthropoda; Malacostraca; Decapoda; Varunidae.
GCUCUCCUAGGCAGAUUGCCCACCACGGCUGACGAGCUCCACUUGCCCGGGUUUAUUGUUCGGAGUUUGCUCUCCUAGGUGAAUUGCCUACCACGGCUAACGAACCUCACCUGCCCGGGUUUGUAAUCGGAGUUUGCUCUCCUAGGUGAACUGCUUUCGCUAACGACCUCCACCUGCCCGGGUUUGUAAUCGGAGUUUGCUCUCCUAGAUGAAUUGCUUUCGCUAACGACCUCCACCUGCCCGGGUUUGUAAUCGGAGUUUGCUCUCCUAGAUGAAUUGCUUUCGCUAACGACCUCCACCUGCCCGGGUUUGUAAUCGGAGUUUGCUCUCCUAGGUGUAUUACCUAUGACGGCUCACGAGCCCAACCUGCCCGGGUUUAUUGUUCGGAGUUUGCUCUCCUAGGUGUAUUACCUAUGACGGCUCACGAGCCCAACCUGCCCGGGUUUAUUGUUCGGAGUUUGCUCUCCUAGGUGAAUUGCCUACCACGGCUAACGAACCUCACCUGCCCGGGUUUGUUGUUCGGAGUUUGCUCUCCUAGGCAGAUUGCCUACCACGGCUAACGAGCCCCACCUGCCCGGCGUUGUAGCCGAAAGAUCUCCGGCACCUCCGUCGGGGUCCCGAUGGACGCCGAUGCGCCCU